Molecule: long non-coding RNA, 1029 nt
Filed under: Canis lupus familiaris (dog)
Lineage: Eukaryota; Metazoa; Chordata; Mammalia; Carnivora; Canidae
Description: lncRNA (ENSCAFG00040001201.1)
Source: RNAcentral
AUGACGGCCGACCGGGCCGGGGGCGGGGAGGCGGGGGCGCGGGGCCCGCAGCCCCCCCCGGCCCCCGGCCCCCGGCCCCCCCCGCCGCCUCCGGGGCCGCAGCGAGGCGCACCUGGGGCCCGGGCCCUCCGCCGCCGACGCGCGCUGCGCGGACCCGCCUCGCAGGGGCCAGGAGCCGGCCCCCCUAUAUCAGCGCGUGCGGUGUCCGGGGGCGGAGGCCGGCCCACGCCCGCAACCACGCCCGCGCCCGCGCCCGCGCCCGCCCCCGAGCCCGCCGAGCGCCUCCGCCGCCGCCCUCGCGGCCCCCCGCGCCCAGCCCGAGCGCCUCGGAGCCCGGGCGGGAGCCGGGCGCCCGGGAGCCUCGAGCCUCCGCCUGCUGGUCCAGCCCCGCGGUGGCAGGGGCCGCGCCGGGGGCGCUGGUCGUUGUGCCGCGCGGAAGCGGGCGAGGGCGGACGUGGGGGUCCGUGGCCGAGGCACGGGGUCGAGGCCAGGAGCCAGGUGAGCCACUGGCCCUGCCGCGUCUCCUCACGGGAGACCAAGCAAAUGUACACGCGCGCACACGCCGCACACACACAUGCACACACGCGCACACGCGCGCACGCACACACUGACCCUCAGUCUGCUCAUCUGCGAAGUGGUGAUGAUGAAUGGGCCUCCCCGGGAACGGGCACCGGAGGAACCGACGUGGCGCUGGCGAAGCGCGUGCCUCAGCGCUGCGAGAGCGACCAGCAGCACCCAGCGGGGAGACCUGGGCCGGACCCUUCCUCCACCGCAGGCCUCAGUUUGCUUGGCCGGAAAUGGGGAUCCUCCGAGGUUGGGCGAGGACCUGAAGCCAUCAAGGGCGCGGGAGCCGGGAGACCAGAGGAACCCCUCCCCCCAUCACGUGCUGAGCCCUUACCCGGGCUGGGGGAGGGGGAGGGAGAGUCCGGCAUCCCCGGGACAAAGGGGACCCCUGGCUGGGACAGGCCCAGCAAUUGCUCUGGGGUGGGGGGGGGAGACUGGACCUGGUCACUCUCACUUUUCAGGUGA